CUACUUGACCAGAAAAUAUAUUUGAUGUGUCUCGUAAAAACAACUUAAAUGUAGCUCCAUAGACAUUUGAUAUCAUGGCGCACAAAUUUAACUCUCUAACUUUUCAAUCUUCAACAUUGAAUGUGUAUGCGUGGGGCUCGGUUACGGUGCAUAAGAAAAUCCUUAUGCACCAUGCAUAAAUCUAGAAAUGGUUUCUAUGAGUUGUACUCCAAAACCAUUAGAUGUACUUAAUGGUUUCUAGCAUCCUGAAUAAGGAUUUCCAACACCCUGCAUAAAAUUAUGCCAAAACCAUUUUGUUGUGGAAAUGGUUUCUGUGAGUUGUACUCCAAAACCAUUUCUGAAUUU
This 345-nucleotide long non-coding RNA is filed under the name Medicago truncatula (barrel medic). Its description in RNAcentral is "long non-coding RNA (MTRU_LNC005995)". The record is from RNAcentral. Lineage: Eukaryota; Viridiplantae; Streptophyta; Magnoliopsida; Fabales; Fabaceae.